Molecule: transfer RNA, 71 nt
Filed under: Camelus bactrianus (Bactrian camel)
Lineage: Eukaryota; Metazoa; Chordata; Mammalia; Artiodactyla; Camelidae
Also listed under: 2 other names
Rfam family: tRNA
About the family: Transfer RNA (tRNA) molecules are approximately 80 nucleotides in length. Their secondary structure includes four short double-helical elements and three loops (D, anti-codon, and T loops). Further hydrogen bonds mediate the characteristic L-shaped molecular structure. tRNAs have two regions of fundamental functional importance: the anti-codon, which is responsible for specific mRNA codon recognition, and the 3' end, to which the tRNAs corresponding amino acid is attached (by aminoacyl-tRNA synthetases). tRNAs cope with the degeneracy of the genetic code in two manners: having more than one tRNA (with a specific anti-codon) for a particular amino acid; and 'wobble' base-pairing, i.e. permitting non-standard base-pairing at the 3rd anti-codon position.
Source: Rfam by way of RNAcentral
GAGGAUAUAGCUCAGUGGUAGAGCGUGUGCUUAGCAGGCACGAGGUCUUGGGUUCAAUCCCCAAUACCUCU